This 232-nucleotide long non-coding RNA is filed under the name Mytilus galloprovincialis (Mediterranean mussel). Lineage: Eukaryota; Metazoa; Mollusca; Bivalvia; Mytilida; Mytilidae. The record is from RNAcentral.
UCAAAAAGUGGAUAUUUGCCCACCCAAAAUAGAUGCGCUGCUUCGUCGCUUCUGGUGCCGAUUGAGGGCCUUGGAAUUAUAUAAAUCGGGCAUCAAUCUGUUCAUUUUUCAUUUAUCUCUUCAUUUAUGCAAAUUUCACCUACCUGCCAACCUUUAUUUUUCCAUAUUUUAACAGUUUUCACAGAUACCCAUCGAUUUCUGCAUUUUGACUUUCAUUUUCAAAGAUUAUCAC